CUACUACAUGUCGAGUAUAUAUCUACAUAUAUAUAGGAGGCGGCAACCAUGAGGGCAGAUUCAUGGUUGCCUAUAAAUAUGGCCUUAGGAAAUCGUUUUUUAGAAACGUGAGGGAAAGAGCGCAUCAUGGCUGUGAGGUGAAAAAAAAUAUAUUUUGCGUGAAAUUUGUUAGCUUCAACAAGUUAACACAUAACGAGUUUGGGAUGUGAAAUUUUAUUUUGUGACUGUUCUAAAAUUUGUGUUUUUUUGACAAUAAAAUUUCGAGUGUUGUUUGGUUAUCAAAUUCUUUUCUUUUGGCAAUUACAACAAAUUUAAAUUGGCAACAUAUAUUCAUCUUCCUACAUAUACAUACCCUUUAAUCUUCUCCUCUAAUCGUUUUGGAGAACUGUUCUCUUGGCAAGAACCAUACUGCUUUUCUUUGUAUUAGGACUUUCAUUUUUGUGGUGAAUGCUUUCCUGGCCUCAUAACAGCUAUAUUGCAAAUAAAAAUGUUGGCUUGAUAACGCAAAUUUAAAUAUCUUUUAGCAUUCCUUGGGAGGUAAAUUAAGUAGUUCACGACAAUGAAUACAAGCAUAAUCAUAUCAUCUGCAUCCAGUAUCUGCAUAUAUAACAUAUACAUAUGUAUAUAUAUACAUAUAUUAGGAUUAUCAGUUAGUCCAUUCUCUGUGCAAUGUAGGAGUAGCAGUCGAGUUAGGUAAUAGUUUUCAAUCUUUCAUGAUUAUGUUCUAGUACUUUUUUUGUUAUAUAUGUGACAUACACACACACAAGUGUAUAUAUAUGUCUCAUAUAUAUGCCACAUUCAUGAUUCAUUAAUUAGGAAAUUUGAGAAGAAAUAGAGUAAGAAUUCAACCAAAAUGGGGAGUGGUAUUCAUGAAAAAAGGAUCUGUUAAAUAUUUCAAAUACUACAUAUUCCAUGUUCUUUCUUGAACAUGAUCAUUCUCAUGCUAUAAAGUAUUUUUAAGAGAAAAAUAUUCAGAAUGACAUGAAAUGCAGUAGUUCAAUACAAUUGAUGUUGCAGCAUGAGCAUGAGCUGCAUGGAGUACUUGUCACUAAUUUGUUCUGCUUGAGGUGCAAUAUGCAUGAAUGAGUCUGUGCAUUUUUUUAAAAAAGAAAAAAAGAAUGUAUGUAUGAGUGCAUUCAUACCAACGGGUUUUUCUUUUUUUUUUUUUUGGAAGCAUGAAUACAUUUUUAUGUGUUCUCUUGUUUGUUAAGUAGAUUAAAUUUUAGGGGAUGAAGCAAGGUGUAUUUAAAAAUUUGGAAACCAUUGAAAGCUGGAUCUUUUCUCUUACUUAUUUUUUUGUGCAUGGCUGCUGCAGCUUUAUUUGGAUUAGCUUGUACAAAGCAAAAUGGGAGGUGGAUUUAGAGUGCUUCAUCUUGUCAGACCAUUUCUUUCGUUUCUGCCCGAAGUUCAAAGUGC
RNAcentral lists this long non-coding RNA (1416 nucleotides) under Carica papaya (papaya). Its description in RNAcentral is "long non-coding RNA (CPAP_LNC013688)". Lineage: Eukaryota; Viridiplantae; Streptophyta; Magnoliopsida; Brassicales; Caricaceae. The record is from RNAcentral.